GACCCUGCCAGUAGCAUAUGCUUGUCUCUGAGACUAAGCCAUGCAUGUCUAAGUAUAAAUUAAUUUUUACGGUGAAACUGCGGACGGCUCAUUAAAUCAGUUAUAACCUACUUGAUCGUGUGACUUUAUUCGGAUAACCCUAGUAAUUCUAGAGCUAAUACGUGCUAAAAGCCUUAACUUCCAGCAAUGGGGGAAGAGGUGUAUUUAUUAGAAACUAAAACCAAUCAGCUUCGGCUGUUUGAGAUGAUUCAUAAUAACUCGGCAAAUUACGGGAAAAUUCCUGUGAUGAUUCAAACGGAUUUCUGACCUAUCAACUUUAGAUGGCAAAGUAGGGGUUUGCCAUGGUGACAACGGGUGACGGGGAAUUAGGGUUCGAUUCCGGAGAGGGAGCCUGAGAAACGGCUACCACUUCCGAGGAAGGCAGCAGGCGCGCAAAUUACCCAAUGCUAAUUCGGCGAGGUAGUGACAAGAAAUACCAAUGUAGGACCCAACGGGUACUACGUUUGGAAUGAGAACAAUUUAAAAACCUUAACGAGGAACAAUUGGAGGGCAAGUCUGGUGCCAGCAGCCGCGGUAAUUCCAGCUCCAAUAGUGUAUAUUAAAGUUGCUGCGGUUAAAAAGCUCGUAGUUGGAUUACGAAGUGGUGUUUAAAUGUCAUUUUGGUUUGUUUGUCUUUCGGGGCAUUCAGGUCAACUUGGCUUUUACUCACUGUUGUCAUUGUCUUUGCCCAAGGUAUAUGCCUUGUGUGCAUGGCAUUGACCUUCUAUUUUAUGGUAAUGUUGUAUCUUUCGGGGUACAUUCAUUCCAUAUAGUUUACUUUGAAAAAAUUAGGGUGUUUAAAGCAGGCGAAAAGGCUUCGGAAUAUAUUAGCAUGGGAUAAUAGAAUACGAUCUAGGUCGUAAUUUGUUGGUUUCUACGGCUUAGGUAAUGAUUGACAGGGAUAGUUGGGGUCGCUCGUAUUGAGUUGUCAGAGGUGAAAUUCUAGGAUUAACUCAAGACGAACUAAUGCGAAAGCAUUCGGCAAGGAUGUUUUCAUUAAUCAAGAACGAAAGUUGGGGGAUCGAAGAUGAUCAGAUACCGUCGUAGUCUCAACUGUAAACUAUGUCGACCGAGGAUCCGGUAGCGUUACAUGGAUGACCUUCCGGGCACUCUGUGAGAAAUCAUAAGUAUUUGGAUUUCGGGGGGAGUAUGGUCGCAAGGCUGAAACUUAAAGGGAUUGACGGAAGGGCACCACCAGGAGUGGAAUCUGCGGCUUAAUUUGACUCAACACGGGAAAACUUACCAGGUCCGGACACAGUGAGGAUUGACAGAUUGAGAGCUCUUUCUUGAUUUUGUGGGUGGUGGUGCAUGGCCGUUUUUAGUUGGUGGAGUGAUUUGUCUGGUUAAUUCCGUUAACGAACGAGACCUUAACCUAUUAAAUAGCUGCGCGAACCCAGGUUCUUUAACCAUUCUCUCCUUCGGGGGGGCGUGGUAUCA
RNAcentral lists this ribosomal RNA (1476 nucleotides) under metagenome. RNAcentral describes it as "SSU rRNA". It matches the Rfam family "Eukaryotic small subunit ribosomal RNA", at positions 10 to 1430 of the family's 1831-position model. The record is from RNAcentral.